AGGGCGGCGUACGGCUCAGUAACGUGUGGUCAAUCUACCCUCAGGACGGAGAUAACCUCGGGAAACUGAGGCUAAUAUCCGAUAGAUAAUGGAUCCUGGAAUGGUUCAUUAUUCAAACGGCACAUUGCUCAUGCGCAGUGUGUCGCCUGAGGAUGAGACUGCACCCUAUCAGGUAGUUGGUGGGGUAAUGGCCCACCAAGCCUAUAACGGGUACGGGCCCUGAGAGGGGGAGCCCGGAGAUGGGCACUGAGACAAGGGCCCAGGCCCUACGGGGCGCAGCAGGCGCGAAACCUCUGCAAUGCGCGAAAGCGCGACAGGGCCACCCCGAGUGCUAGCCGCUGAGGUUAGCUUUUCCUUAGUGUAGUAAGCUAAGGGAAUAAGCGGGGGGCAAGCCUGGUGUCAGCCGCCGCGGUAAUACCAGCUCCGCGAGUGGUCGGGACGAUUAUUGGGCCUAAAGCGUCCGUAGCCGGCCUAUCAAGUCUCUGGUUAAACCUCAAGGCUCAACCUUGAGAUCGCUGGAGAUACUGUUAGGCUAGGGGGCGGGAGAGGUUGAGGGUACUUCGCGGGUAGGGGCGAAAUCCUAUAAUCCGCGAAGGACCA
Molecule: ribosomal RNA, 600 nt
Filed under: uncultured archaeon
Lineage: Archaea
Description: bacterial SSU rRNA
Rfam family: Archaeal small subunit ribosomal RNA
Source: RNAcentral